UCUCCUGUGAAAUGUUGAAAGGCAAACCUUCUGAAGAAGUCAAGAUGAAAUACCUCUGCUUUUGCCCAAGCAGAGAGGAAUGGGAAGCAGUAUGUGUGGUAUGUGAAGUGGAGGUGUACCUAUUGGUUGCAAGUAUCAUCUGAGUCCAGCUCUGGGGCCUAGAGUUAGAGAAAGACUAGGAUAAUGAUGAAGUGCUGCAAAAAUCCAGAGCACUGUUAUACAGAUAUGAAGAUCCAGGACGGCUGCUUCUUUCACUUUCACGUCUUCAGAAGGAAAUAGAAAGGUAGUGCUGCGUGACUGAGCUGCCGUGCUUUGCCAGAUGGUAGCUGAUGGGUGAACUAGAGCUCUAAUCGCCGACACUCUUCUGUGCAAACUGAGAAACCGUGGGUUUGCCUAUCCUAACAACAUAAAGGUUCCUUUAA
This is a long non-coding RNA of Pygoscelis adeliae (Adelie penguin), 422 nucleotides long. RefSeq lists it as uncharacterized. The record is from RefSeq and is a predicted model, not a curated record. The transcript is spliced from 3 exons. Lineage: Eukaryota; Metazoa; Chordata; Aves; Sphenisciformes; Spheniscidae.